GCCCUGACGGCGCUCCCGGGAGCAGCCGGUGCGCGGCGGCGGCACGACCCCCUGCGCCUCCGAGGCAGACGAGCCCAUCGGGAGAAGGCGAGGCAGGGAAGUGCCUAAACCAACGGGAUAGGAUUCAAAACUAGGUGACAAACUCAUGAGAAAUCCAACCUGGCUGAAUGUCUGAGAGGCUGCUACUGUAUCAACAUCACAAGAUAAAGCACUCUGGUAUCACCUGCCCAUAUCCUCCUUAGUGUCACCCAAGACAUUUGACUCUGAUGUGGUUAAUUGAUAACUUUUCUUGCUCCACUUUACAAUGUUUUGUUUCCUACAUCUUAUUACCUUGGGACACAAAAGUGGCAGAGUUGUUGAGAGCUGAUGACAAUAAAAAGGAGAACACUAGAGGAAAUGAGACAGGAAAGAAAGCCAAAGCUGAUUUUCCAACUCUAUGCUGACUCCAACCUGCAGAAAAAGCUGAAUAUAGAAAUCUUCUUCCAUAUAUGAUGAAGUCACUCCACUUACGACAUAACACACAAAGGAAUCACCUGGCUUUUUUUUUUUAACCCAGAAGAGUUGUGCUGGGGACCAUGCCCCAUCCCGCUGAUACAGAUCCUGAAUGGAAUAAUCAGGAAUGGCACAGUGCAGGUGUCAAUAUCAAAGUAAGGCCGCAGAAUUUUUGAGAGGACCCUCCAAAUACUGAGAACUUCUGUUGCACUCGAAACAGUCUCCUGGAUUUCUAUAUUUUUAUGUGAAGGGCUCUUAUUGAUGUCCCCCAGAAUCCAGACUCAGACCUAUUUCUCCAAAAAGGUCCAAUUGGGUUGCUACAUAGUAGCAAGGGUUUAUCUUCAUGCUCACCUAGCAUUCCAGGCCCC
Molecule: long non-coding RNA, 860 nt
Filed under: Homo sapiens (human)
Lineage: Eukaryota; Metazoa; Chordata; Mammalia; Primates; Hominidae
Description: non-protein coding lnc-CDK12-2:1
Source: RNAcentral